This 497-nucleotide ribosomal RNA is filed under the name uncultured bacterium. RNAcentral's name for it is "bacterial SSU rRNA". It matches the Rfam family "Bacterial small subunit ribosomal RNA", at positions 28 to 524 of the family's 1533-position model. The record is from RNAcentral.
GAUGAACGCUAGCGGCAGGCUUAAUACAUGCAAGUCGUGGGGCAGCAGGGGUAGCAAUACCCGCUGGCGACCGGCAAACGGGUGCGGAACACGUACGCAACCUUCCUUUAACUGGAGAAUAGCCCCUCGAAAGAGGGAUUAAUACUCCGUAACAUAUAGAUGUGGCAUCACAAUUAUAUUAUAGCUCCGGCGGUUAAAGAUGGGCGUGCGCCUGAUUAGAUAGUUGGCAGGGUAACGGCCUACCAAGUCUGCGAUCAGUAACUGGUGUGAGAGCACGACCAGUCACACGGGCACUGAGACACGGGCCCGACUCCUACGGGAGGCAGCAGUAAGGAAUAUUGUCAAUGGACGCAAGUCUGAACCAGCCAUGCCGCGUGGAGGAUUAAGGCCCUCUGGGUUGUAAACUCCUUUUAUCUGGGAANAAAUGCUAUUUUUCUAAGUGCUUGACGGUACAGAGAAUAAGCACCGGCUAACUCCGUGCCAGCCGCCGCCGUAAG